GCCGGCGUGGCGCAAUGGUAGCGCGUAGCUUUCCUAAGAUAAUUGGCUAGGCUGAAGUUGCGGGUUCGAUCCCCGUCGUCGGUU
Molecule: transfer RNA, 84 nt
Filed under: Lentinula raphanica
Lineage: Eukaryota; Fungi; Basidiomycota; Agaricomycetes; Agaricales; Omphalotaceae
Description: tRNA-Arg
Rfam family: tRNA
About the family: Transfer RNA (tRNA) molecules are approximately 80 nucleotides in length. Their secondary structure includes four short double-helical elements and three loops (D, anti-codon, and T loops). Further hydrogen bonds mediate the characteristic L-shaped molecular structure. tRNAs have two regions of fundamental functional importance: the anti-codon, which is responsible for specific mRNA codon recognition, and the 3' end, to which the tRNAs corresponding amino acid is attached (by aminoacyl-tRNA synthetases). tRNAs cope with the degeneracy of the genetic code in two manners: having more than one tRNA (with a specific anti-codon) for a particular amino acid; and 'wobble' base-pairing, i.e. permitting non-standard base-pairing at the 3rd anti-codon position.
Source: RNAcentral